RNAcentral lists this ribosomal RNA (497 nucleotides) under uncultured bacterium. Its description in RNAcentral is "partial 16S ribosomal RNA". It matches the Rfam family "Bacterial small subunit ribosomal RNA", at positions 28 to 507 of the family's 1533-position model. The record is from RNAcentral.
GAUGAACGCUGGCGGCGUGCCUAAUACAUGCAAGUCGAGCGAACAGACGAGGAGCUUGCUCCUCUGACGUUAGCGGCGGACGGGUGAGUAACACGUGGAUAACCUACCUAUAAGACUGGGGUAACUUCGGGAAACCGGAGUUAAUACCGGAUAAUAUAUUGAACCGCAUGGUUCAAUAGUGAAAGACGGUUUUGCUGUCACUUAUAGAUGGAUCCGCGCCGCAUUAGCUAGUUGGUAAGGUAACGGCUUACCAAGGCAACGAUGCGUAGCCGACCUGAGAGGGUGAUCGGCCACACUGGAACUGAGACACGGUCCAGACUCCUACGGGAGGCAGCAGUAGGGAAUCUUCCGCAAUGGGCGAAAGCCUGACGGAGCAACGCCGCGUGAGUGAUGAAGGUCUUCGGAUCGUAAAACUCUGUUAUUAGGGAAGAACAAAUGUGUAAGUAACUAUGCACGUCUUGACGGUACCUAAUCAGAAAGCCACGGCUAACUACGUG